Molecule: non-coding RNA, 1286 nt
Organism: Zonotrichia albicollis (white-throated sparrow)
Lineage: Eukaryota; Metazoa; Chordata; Aves; Passeriformes; Passerellidae
Source: RefSeq, a predicted model, not a curated record
AGGUGGCUGCUGCAAGAAUCAGGAAUAGUCCAUGCUUAGAGGAGCUGCCUGUGAGAAACAUUGAGGAGCAUUGUACUCAGCCAUAUCACCACAUAUGGACACCUCAUCAAGAGAUUUAUCCCUUCAUAAAAUCUGAAUAGACAGGAUGGUUCCUCUCUGAAGAUGCUGCUCUUCUACACUGACUGCAAAGGGAGGGUAAAUGAACAUCUUAAAUUACACAACUAUGAAAUGCAAAAUUAAGGUCAGACUUCUGGCUGGGAAAGCUCACCCAGAACUCAAAAUCACCUUGGGAGGAUCUUGGUUCCAACUAAAGGUCUGUGAAGAUCAUACAAUUGCAAAAAACUAUUGUGUCUUUACUUACUGAAAGGAAAAUUCUGAGCAAAGAUCCUGUGUUCCUGACCUCAAGAAAAUGGGGCUGGGAGAAGGUGUGAACACUUUGAAGGAAGAAAAAAGCAAAGUAGAUUGAGACAGAAGAAAAGAAAGACAAAGAAGAAGAAGAAGAAGAAAGAAGGAAGAAGACGAAAAAGAACAUGAAGAAAAAGAAAUGUGAAAAAAGAGAUUUUAAAAAAUGAAAGAGGAUGAAAAUUAAGCAUAAACAAACUUUUAAUUUGACUCCAAGGAUGAAUUAAUUCAAUUUAUUCCACCUGAGUGUAGGAGACUUGGAUGGAAUGCCAGUUCCCAAAAAACAUGUCCACAUUUAAUGACUAUUGGGCAAAAUGGGGAUCCACAGUUUUGAAACCACCUAAAAAAUUAUAAAGUUAUUUUUAAAUUUUUUUCAUUAUUUUACUAAAUUAACCUUCCAUUUCCAUGUAUGCAAAUAAUGAGUAGUUCAUGUACACUAUUCAGAAAACACUCAGUAUUUUUUACUAGCAGAAAAAAAGACAUGAGAAUAUGAAUCCUAAGAGUCAAAAAUUACAAGACUGGAAGACAAAAUGAUAAGGCUGAAGAUCCUAAAAAAGGAGAUUAUUUAAAAAUUUUAGUACCUUGAAACUAGUCAGAUGUGUUCAUGUAUAAAUUUUUUUGCCUUUUUUGUCAUAUCCAACAAAUCUAAGAAAAUGAUUACUCACCACAUUUAGAAAUUAUCAUUAACUACACUGGGGACCAAAGAAGGAUGAAUUAUUCAAGAAGAAAAUGUAUAAAUAGAUGCUUGAAGAUAUUGGGUUUUCUCAUGUCUUUCUCUAAAAGUAGCAAUUCUCUUUUAUUUGUACUAUUCUUUCAAAUAAAAAAUUCAGUAGGAAAUGGAAAAAAAUAUACCUCAGAAUAAUCAGCGUAGACAAUAUAAUAGG